RNAcentral lists this ribosomal RNA (462 nucleotides) under uncultured bacterium. RNAcentral describes it as "partial 16S ribosomal RNA". It matches the Rfam family "Bacterial small subunit ribosomal RNA", at positions 28 to 506 of the family's 1533-position model. The record is from RNAcentral.
GACGAACGCUGGCGGCGUGCUUAACACAUGCAAGUCGAACGGGAAGUCCUUUUCGGAGGUACUCGAGUGGCGAACGGGUUAGUAACACGCGGUUGAUCUGCCCUUCACUCUGGGAUAAGCCUGGGAAACUGGGUCUAAUACCGGAGAGGACAGCACUUUAGUGUUUGUGUUGGAAAGUUUUUUCGGUGUAGGAUGAGCCGGGGGCCUAUUAGCUUGGUGGUGGGGUAUUGGCCUACCAAGGCGGCGACGGGUAGCCGGACUGAGAGGUUGGUCGGCCACAUUAGGACUGAGCUACGACCCAGACUACUACGGGAGGCAGCAGUGGGGAAUAUUGCACAAUGGGAGGAAGGAUGAUGCAGCGAAGCAGCGUGGGGGAUGACGGCAUUCGGGUUGUAAACUACUUUCGCCAGGGACGAAGCGUUUUGUGACGGUACCGGGAGAAGAAGCACCGGCUAACUACGU